Acanthosepion pharaonis is the source of this 114-nucleotide non-coding RNA. The record is from the annotation of a GenBank genome assembly. Lineage: Eukaryota; Metazoa; Mollusca; Cephalopoda; Sepiida; Sepiidae.
UUACGACCAUAUCACGUUGAAACACCAGUUCUCGUUCAAUCACCGAGGUUAAGCAACAUCAAGUUUGACCAGGACCUAAAUAAGUGACCACAUGGGAAUACCAGGUGCCGUAAG